This 497-nucleotide ribosomal RNA is filed under the name uncultured bacterium. Its description in RNAcentral is "partial 16S ribosomal RNA". It matches the Rfam family "Bacterial small subunit ribosomal RNA", at positions 28 to 507 of the family's 1533-position model. The record is from RNAcentral.
GAUGAACGCUGGCGGCGUGCCUAAUACAUGCAAGUCGAGCGAACAGACGAGGAGCUUGCUCCUCUGACGUUAGCGGCGGACGGGUGAGUAACACGUGGAUAACCUACCUAUAAGACUUGGAUAACUUCGGGAAACCGGAGCUAAUACCGGAUAAUAUAUUGAACCGCAUGGUUCAAUAGUGAAAGACGGUUUUGCUUUCACUUAUAGAUGGAUCCGCGCCGCAUUAGCUAGUUGGUAAGGUAACGGCUUACCAAGGCAACGAUGCGUAGCCGACCUGAGAGGAGGAUCGGCCACACUGGAACUGAGACACGGUCCAGAAUCCUACGGGAGGCAGCAGUAGGGAAUCUUCCGCAAUGGGCGAAAGCCUGACGGAGCAACGCCGCGUGAGUGAUGAAGGUCUUCGGAUCGUAAAACUCUGUUAUUAGGGAAGAACAAAUGUGUAAGUAACUAUGCACGUCUUGACGGUACCUAAUCAGAAAGCCACGGCUAACUACGUG